GAUGAACGCUGGCGGCGUGCCUAAUACAUGCAAGUCGAGCGAACAGACGAGGAGCUUGCUCCUCUGACGUUAGCGGCGGACGGGUGAGUAACACGUGGAUAACCUACCUAUAAGACUGGGAUAACUUCGGGAAACCGGAGCUAAUACCGGAUAAUAUGUUGAAUCGCAUGGUUCAACAGUGAAAGACGGUCUUGCUGUCACUUAUAGAUGGAUCCGCGCCGCAUUAGCUAGUUGGUAAGGUAACGGCUUACCAAGGCAACGAUGCGUAGCCGACCUGAGAGGGUGAUCGGCCACACUGGAACUGAGACACGGUCCAGACGCCUACGGGAGGCAGCAGUAGGGAAUCUUCCGCAAUGGGCGAAAGCAUGACGGAGCAACGCCGCGUGAGUGAAGAAGGUCUUCGGAUCGUAAAACUCUGUUAUUAGGGAAGAACAAAUGUGUAAGUAAAUAUGCACGUCUUGACGGUACCUAAUCAGAAAGCCACGGCUAACUACGUG
This 497-nucleotide ribosomal RNA is filed under the name uncultured bacterium. RNAcentral's name for it is "partial 16S ribosomal RNA". It matches the Rfam family "Bacterial small subunit ribosomal RNA", at positions 28 to 507 of the family's 1533-position model. The record is from RNAcentral.